RNAcentral lists this transfer RNA (74 nucleotides) under Actinomycetota bacterium. RNAcentral's name for it is "Actinobacteria bacterium tRNA-Gly". It matches the Rfam family "tRNA". From Rfam's summary of the family: Transfer RNA (tRNA) molecules are approximately 80 nucleotides in length. RNAcentral also lists the same sequence under 1 other name. Lineage: Bacteria; Bacillati; Actinomycetota. The record is from RNAcentral.
GCGGGUGUAGCUCAAUGGUAGAGUUCUAGCCUUCCAAGGGAGCUGUGCCGGUUCAAUCCCGGUCACCCGCUCCA